CCUUUUGGAGAGAAGUGUUGGAUCAUGUUCUUAGAUUAAUAACUGUCAUCAUUGUCUUGUUGUGGAAACGUUUUGAAAGAGAACAUUGCAUUCCUGAAGUCAGAGUGUGGUUCUUGAUUUCAGUUUUCAUGCACACUCAAGUUCUCCUGGAAAAGGGAAUGUGAACAACGGGAAAUUGCAUCCAUAGAGCCAUCAAGGGUCAUCUCCAGUGUGGGAGGUUUAGGACACAGGUGCACAGGACAACUGCUGCCUCUUCCUUCUGAGCCAGCAACUGUGUGUCCAACUUCACAGACAGGAGGGGAGAUCUGGGAAGGAAAACAUCUUUACUCUCAUGCAUGUUUUGGCUUAUUGCUAACUCUGCCACAGGUCAUUUGGGUUGUGAGAGUGGUCUAUUUGUGUGUGCAGCCUGGCUCUUUUAAACACAGUACUUUCUCCCAGUAAUGGAGACAUAAGAAAAUAGAAAAAGUCACCUCUGGGAGAGAUAAAUUCAGGACCACUCUGUGAGCAAUAGUGUACCCCCGACUCUCUCCAGUAAUCCACUGCUGAUGGUGCUGGCCUGACACUGAGAGAACUUGCUCAUGUGUUUAUUGAUAGAAGUGCUGGGGUACUUUGGGGAAGACUGAGGGCAAAGUUCUCAAGAUGCCAGUGGAUCCUGGUGCUGGGCUGUUGAACUACUGUGGAGUAACUGACUUGUGAAUUUUGUGGGUGUGUUGGAAAAAUCUUUUUGAACUUAUGCAAAGCAGAUGAAUAGGCUUUAAACAGAUAAAAUCAGAUGAAUUCAUAUAACUAGGUCCAGCCUGAGUGUUUGGGGAGUGAGAAUGCAAAGAAGAAAUCUUGAGACAGGUUUGCUAAACAGGGUGUGUUUGUGUGUAUGUGUGCAUGUGCACUUGCAUGGGCUUAAGAACUCUCAUCCAAAUUUCUAUGUGACUUCCAGCACCUGUAUCAGAAAACCUGAUUCUAAUGACAUUCAUUCUCCGCUUCCCAGCAUACCAUCCAUUUCCUCUUAUUUCUGACUGUCAAUAGUAAUGUAAACUUUACUUUUUUUGGACACAUGCUUUUUUUUGUAACGAAGAUAAACAGGGGGAAACUCCAUGAAGAUUUAUUUGGACACUUGAUCAAAACAAAUCUUAUAAUUGAAAACAUUAAUAACUUAUAAUUGUUUAAAAAAUGGAAAUUUGUUUCAUCUUACACAAGUUCUUCUAUUGGCCACUUGGAAUAAAAUUUUAAAACCUUCUGAAUAGGUCAUCUAAAUGUAUUUUUUCUUAUAAAUAGGUUGAAGCAAAAGCAGAUUGCUCUUUCCCUAUUUCCUUGACUUCACUGUGUGAUGUUGCUUAUGAAGGCCAGACACAAAAUGAGGUGUGUGUGUGUGUGUGUGUGUGUGUGCAUGUCUGCACAUAUGCAUACAUAUAGAAUCAGUUUUCUUCUCAAUGAAAAGCACAGGAAUGUGUCCCCUGCUUCUUCUAUGGUUGUGCAGCUUCACACAGCACAAGGUUGUACUCUUGGCUUAGAAUGGAAAUUCUCUCAGACUCCUCCAACUACUUUUCUGGUGAUGGCUUCAGAAUUAUGAUAAAGACAGGUAAUAAGAUGUUUCAUGAAUAAAAGGUCUAAGUCAAAAUUCUAAUUUGGAAAAACUAGUGCAAAGUAGAUUACUUGAUUAAAAUCCAAUGGUUCACAUUCCAGGGUGUUCUUCUGACUUCUACUCUUUAGUAGACACAAAUGCAGCAAAGAUCAAGAUUUUAUUUUAAACAAAAAUUGUUUUAUUUUUUCUAUCUGGAAGUGAGGGGAGAUAGAAGGCAGAAUAAAUCUAUUUGUAAUUUCUUUUCAGGAAAUACAUUAAGCAAUGGGUGAAUAAUUUUAUGUUCAGAGUCUAGAUUACUUUAAAAAAUCUAGGCCAUUUAUAUUUAUUGUACUUAGGGGACAAUCUAAGAAAAUACUAUAAGUAAAGUAUUUCACCCUGCCUUGUCUUACAGUUUUACAUAGAAAUUUGGUUAAAUGAUAGAGGAUGCAUCUAAGGGAAUAAAAUUAUAAAGUGCCAGUGAAAAUAAGAAAAAAAAUUGUAUUUGAAAGCUGCUAAACUAGCUUUAUAAAUGUAAACUCAGUCACUGAAAGAUAAAUAGUAAACAUAUUUUUAUUAUAUACUACACAUGUCUGGUAGCACAUGUAUAACCAUAGUAAUUACUGUCUUAUUAUAAUAAUAUAUAUAUCUGCUAUAAUACUUUCCUUAAUGAAGCAAUGCUUUUUUUUUUUUUUGUAGCCCUUCCUAGUAAAUGCGUCAUGAUUGUGUAAAUGAGCAUCUGUUUUAAGUUAUAGAUGCCUCUGCAGCAUCUUGGGGUUUGGUUGUUUUAGGGAUAGUGAAUGUUUUUACUUUUGUAUUUUUAUACAAGGACAGCUUUUGUAUAAAAAAAGAUUUUUUAUAUAAAAAAUGGGGGAGGGGGUUGUCUCUCCCCAGUUUCAUGGGACUUUAAAAUCUACAUUGUUUUUCUUAUAGUUUAUAAUAGUGGAGCCCAUUACCUCCUUUAGUUAACACUACUUCCUCUUUUCUCCCACAGGGUUCUCAAAGUCAGCUCUGGUGAUUGAAGAAAGUUACUUAUGCUCAGGUGUUUGGAGAAAGAAAAAAAUGUUUCUAGUAUUUCUGAAAAAAUUUUAUUUCUAGAAAUGGGGGUGUAAUCUAUUACCAAAUGCCAUCUGCAAGUCAAGCAAGAUGAUAUUAUGCAUCUUUAAUCAGUUAAAUUUCCAAAUUAUUUACACUUUAAUUCUCAACUUACUUUACAAGGUCUUUGCCAAGUUUGCUUUGAAUUAGAUGACUUUGCUUGAAAGUUUACCAAGGAAGAUGUUUAGGACAGGGAACUUCAAAUUCCUAACCCUGAAGCAUCGUGGAAGAAGAGGAGGUAGUGCAAUUUCUUUUUUUGUUUUAACUCAUUGAAAUAUUUGAUUACAGUUUAUUUUCAUUUAAUAGUUUCAUCUAAAAGAUUAUUUUAGUGGUACCAAAUCCUAGUGAUCAUGAGAGUGUUCUUAUUCCUGCCAGCUAGAAGAUCUGAAAUGCUGUUAUCAGCCAAUAUAUUCUGGAUCCACCAAUUUGAAUAAUGGUCUAUCAGCUUUGGAGAUUUGGAUUUCUUAAGAUUAGAGACAGCUGUGGGCAGAAAGAAAAGUCCACAUUCCCCCACCCCUCCUCUUCCUUCUAACAUUCCCACAGAAAUUAAUAUGCUUUGAGCUGAGCCGACUCAGACACAGAGGAGUCAAAGCCGGAGGAUUUAUUUGAAAAGGAAACCCAAGAAAAAUCCUGACACAUCUUGCAAAAACCUAUUAAAAUCUAAACAUGACUGCAGUCCAAAGCCUGCCUGUGAAGUGUGGGUUGAGGGGAGAUGGUCCAGACCUGGAAACCCUAAAUCUAUUUGUGUUUUUUGCUGAACUUGGGUCUGGCUCCGUGACAUAUAGCAUUAGAUAUUCCAUAAAGGAGAUAAAAUCCAUCCUGGGGAGUAGUUGGACAGGUUGGCUCCUUAUGGAGGUGGUAGGUUUUGGAUGAAAUAUGGUAUAUCCAGGGUGAAGUACCCAAGAGGUGGAGAAUCACUUUUAAAUACCUCCUUCUUGGGCUUUUACUCUUGAAGUCAGUAUCAUUUAUAAACUAUUUAAAGAUGGACAAUUUUAUAUCAGUGAAGAGUUUCUCUUCUUUACUUUUCUCCUUCAAAUGGGAAAUAAAAUAGUAUAGGGGAAGCGUGUUGAAGAAGAUUUUCAAGACCCACUUUCCUGCCUCCAUUUCUUGUGUGCAGUAAAUCAAUGGAGUGAUGCAUGGGAAAAAUCUCCUGUUUCUGUGCAACUGAAAUAAAAGGGAAAGGGAGGAAAAUAACCCAACUGCCAACUGCAUUGCAAUCAUGAGAAGCCACUGUUGGGAAGAAUGCUUUGCUAGUAAAUCAGUGCUGCGCCCCUGCCAAGAGGGCAUGGUGGUACAAAGGGAGGCAUGAAGCUCAAAAGCUAGACAGCUAUCAUGUGUGGCUCCUGACCCUCAGUUAUGGGAGGCUGUCUUUCGGGGUUCCAGCUCUGACAUUGCAAUCCUGGGGCCAACUUUUGGCUCUGCCAUGGGUUGGCUGAAUGGUGUAUUACCCAGUGAGACUCAGCUGUGUCAUUUGUGAAGAAAUUAUUCACAAAGCUGUUAUGGAAAGUAAAGAGGAUGAGGUAUCGAUCUGAGCACAGCAACAUCGCUAAAUAAGAACUUAGUAAAAUGUCAGUGCCUACAUUCUUAGGAAUAUUCACUGGUAAAGAGGAAGUUAUAAAUCUCAGAUGUUAGAAAAAAUUUAUGUGAGUCUGCUUUUCAUGGCUAAGACUGAAAUACCCGACAGGAAGAUGUUAGCUGAGGAAAAGUUUAUGCUGAGUUCACAGUUUCAGAGAUUUAGUCCGUGGUCAGCUGACUCCAUUGCUGUGCACCCAAGAUGAGGCAGAACAUCAUGGCAGAAGGACAUGGCAGAGAGAAGCUCUUCACUCAUGGUGGCCAGGCAGCAGAGAGAAAGAGAAGAGAGGUGUGGAAGGGCUGCAAGGAAGAUGAACCCUUCCAGGGCAUACCCCCAGUGACCCAUGUCCUCACCUACCUACUACUGUUAUCACCCAGGUAGUUCAUUCAGACUAGAUGGACUGAUUAGGUUAUAGCUCACCUAAUGUAAUCAUUUUCACCUCUGAAUAUUCCUGCAUUAACACAGGAGCUUUUGGGGGAACCCUGCAUAUCCAAAUCAUAACAACAUUAUAAUGGAAAUAAUUGUUCCAUAAUAUUUAAAUAUACAGAUGUGAAUAUUUUGUGGAGACAAGAAGAUGUUCUGGAUUAUUAGAAAUGGUGAUGUUUUAACUUUCCAAAUAUUGAUUGAGUAUUCCUUGUCCAAAAUGCUUGGGACCAGCCAAACAAACUUUUGAUUUUGAAUUUUGGAAUCUUGGAAUAAUCAUAAUGAGAUAUCUUGGGGAUGGGACCCAAGUCUAAACAUGAAAUUCAUUUGUUUCAUGUAUAUUUUAUAGAUAAUGUCUGAAGGUAACUGUUCAAUAUUUUUAACAACUUUGUGCAUGAAACCAUGUUUUAUUGUGGGUUUUCUGCUUGUUGUAUCAUGCCAGUGCUCAAAACAUUUUGGAUUUUGGAGCAUUUCGAAUUUCAGAUUUUUAGAUUGAGGAUGCUCAACCUGUAGCUUGGAAAGUAGAUCCUGCAAAAAUACAUUGUGGCCAGGUACAGUAGCACACACCUGUAAUCCCAGUGGUUUGGGAGGCUGAACCAAGAGGAUCACCUGUUCAAAGCUAAGCCUCAGCAAUGGAGAGGCACUAAGCAACUCAGUGAGUACCUAUCCCUAAAUAAAAUACAAAAUAAGGCUGUAGAUGUGACUCAGUGGCUGAGUGCCCCUGAGUUCAAUCCCCAGUACCUGUCCCUCCCACCACAAACAAAACAAAACAAAAUGACAUUGAAAUAAAAACUAGUCAUGACUUCAUAUAAAAUCUGACUGCAGGGCCUGGGGUUAGCCUUUUUCCCUCUAUCAGUCUUUGCUGUUUGACUUAUACUGAGGCUGACUUUCCUCAUAGUCCCAAUGUGGCUGCUGUAGUUCCAGAAAAUGCAUCCAAACACAGUGUCCAGAUGACAAAGAUAGGGCAUCUCACCUUGGUUAAUUUUUCAAAAAGAAACUUAUUCAAAAAAGUAAACUUAAAAAAAAAACAACAAAAAAAGCCAAAAAAGUAAACUUUUGCCAGUCAUGGUGGAGCAUACCUAUUAUCUCAGUGGCUCGGGAGGCUGAGGCAUGAAGAUGGUGAAUUCAAAGACAGCCUCAGCAAAAGCAAGGCACUAAACAACUCAGUGAGACCCUGUCUCUAAAUAAAAUUAAAAAAAAAAAAAAGGCUGGGGAUGUGGCUCAGUGAUUGAGUACCCCUGAGUUCAAUCUCCAGAAUCCUCCCCCCACCCCAAAAAAAUACAAUGUGGCUAAGAAUGCAUUAAAUGGUGAUCUGUGGAUAUUUAGAAGAGGAAGCAGUGUUACUAGAAUCUGUAAGUUUUUGCUAAGGUAAGAUGUAUUCAGUAUGCAAUCCCUCAUGUUUUAUUUAAGCCAACAUGGAAAGAAAUGUAAAACCAAUUACAAAUAGGCAUCACUUAACAAAGGAGAUUGUGUUCUGAGAAAUGUGUUGUUAGGCCAUAUCUUUAUUGUGUGAUCAUUAUAGACAACUUACACAAACCUAGAUGGCAAGGGUCAAGCAUUCAGCAUAACUUGAAGCAAUCAAGAGGCGUGAUAAUAUGAUUAUUAUGGCAUGAUUCACAAUAGCCAAAUUAUGCAAUCAGUGCAGGUGCCCACCAGUGGAUGAAUAGAUAAAGGAAAUGUGGUAUAUAUGCCUAAUGGAGUAUUAAUCAGACUUAAAGAAGAAUGAAAUCAUGUCCUUUGCAGGAAAAUGGAUGGUGCUGGAGAUCAUCAUGUCAAGUGAAUAACCCAGAUUCAGACAGGUUCACAUGUUUUCACUCAUAUGUAGAAUCUAGGGAAGGAGAAAGAGAAGGAUAAGAGGAAGGAGGAAAGACAACAUGAAAGUAGAAAGGUGGAUUGUUACAAUUUAGAUAUGAAGUGUCCCCCAGAGAUUCGUGUGUUUAGGGCUUGGUCCCCAAUGCAGCAAUGUUCAGAGGCUGGGCAAUUGGGAAGUGAUAGGAUCGUGAGGGCUUUGACCUUAUCAAUGUAUUAAUCCACUGACAGCUGAAGGAUGAUUGGGAGGUGGCGGAGACUGUGGGAGCAGGGGCUAGUUGGAGGAAGUAGGUCACUGGGAGAGGGACUUGGAAAGGUGUUUCUCAUCCCCAUGCCUUUUCUCUUUCCUGGAUACCAUGAGGAGAGCAGCUUUCUUCCUCCAUGUCCUUCCACCAUGAUGUCCUGCCUCACCUCAGACCCAGAACAAUGGAGCCAGCUUCCCAUGGACUGAGACCUCUGAAAUCGUAACUCAGCUCCAUCCCAAUCGUCCCUAUAGCUUGGCGUGAGACUCUGGCAUCUGUAAAGCAAAUCUUAGGGGCCACUGAUGUGGGCAAGAGGGAAGGUCCUGCACUGAAAUUCCUUCACCAUCACAUUAUGUAGGACUGGUAACCAGAGCCCCUUCAUGUUUCUAGCAGAAGUCACAGAAGAAAUUGCACUGAAGAAUAAAGUUUAGAUCAGACAUAGUUCACUACUUUUUAAACAAAUUGUUUAGGUCCAGGACAAGGCUGUUUGUACACCAGAUAAAAAAAAAACUGAGUUCCAUGGAGCCAAAUGAUUGCCCCAAAGAGUACAGAGUCAACAAGUAGCAUAUCUUCUUUAAAUAAUGAGAAAUCUCAUUCCCCCCACUGGAAUGAAGUACAUGUAUGAAGACAUGAAUGGUGUGAAUAUACUUUGUAUCCAAACAGAGAUAUGAAAAAAUGUGCUCUAUUUGUGUAAUAUGAAUUGUAAUGCAUUGUGCUGCCAUAUAUAGCAAAUUAGAAAAAAAAAAAAAUAACUCAUAAAAUGGAUCAGCUACUUUAAUAAUAAUGAAAAAUUUGAUGGGUGGACUCUGACUUCCUCCCUAUCAUAUUCAAACCUGAGCAUAUUUGUAUUCUUGUCUGAAAAAGAAAAUUUGGUGGUUGUUUUAAAGCCUCUUAUUUGAAUAUGAGAAAUUUUUAUAUAGCAUAUUAGAAAAACAGAAAUAGGACAUAAGUGAUCUUUUCUUCUUCAAGAAGCCUGGGGUGUGAUGGAAAGAACUGCAGGUGAACACUAGUGCUCCCAUCUACAUGUGUGGAAAGUUGGGCAAGUUGCUUGAACUUCCUGGAUAUUACUAAAAAUAAACCUGAAGCUACAUAUCUUGAAGUGUUUUAUAUUUAAAAAGAGUAUGUAUGGGUGAUACUACAGCCUGGACAGAGAAGAAAUGCAAUAAGUGUUAGUUACUGAAGUGUGUGAAUUCAGGAGCUGCAUAGGGGUUGAUUUCCGUCCUGUUCACCUAAAAAAUAAAUCUCAUCCUGUCUUCUACACUCUGGUGGGAGAGGUGUGACUCACCCUUGCUACACUCUUCUUUGCAGUUUGGCUCUGGGCUGGUGUGGCUAAUCUUUUCCCCAGACUUCUUGUUUCUACUUUCUCUUAGUAUCAGCUUAAAUUGAAUCAAUUCAGGAGCUUUGUAUUUUAGAUUGUGCACAGAGAGAAUUUCAAUCAAUAUCCUUAUAAUUGUAUAAUUGGCUCAUUUUGUAUAUUUGAAUGCAAAAUGACUUUGGGUCAAAAGGUAUGCAUUAUUUGUGAAUUUGACAAUUUCUGCCAAAUGCUCUCCUUUAUAUGUUUACCAAUUUAUCAUCUCUUGCCAAUGUAGGAGAGGUCUGUUUUCUCUCUUUGCCAACAGUGUGAUUUAA
Long non-coding RNA from Marmota monax (woodchuck), 8326 nucleotides. RefSeq lists it as uncharacterized. The transcript has 4 exons. The record is from RefSeq and is a predicted model, not a curated record. NCBI's taxonomy places the organism in Eukaryota, Metazoa, Chordata, Mammalia, Rodentia, Sciuridae.